Molecule: ribosomal RNA, 144 nt
Filed under: Weissella cibaria
Lineage: Bacteria; Bacillati; Bacillota; Bacilli; Lactobacillales; Lactobacillaceae
Description: partial 16S ribosomal RNA
Rfam family: Bacterial small subunit ribosomal RNA
Source: RNAcentral
CAAAUUGAGAGUUUGAUCCUGGCUCAGGAUGAACGCUGGCGGCGUGCCUAAUACAUGCAAGUCGAACGCUUUGUGGUUCAACUGAUUUGAAGAGCUUGCUCAGAUAUGACGAUGGACAUUGCAAAGAGUGGCGAACGGGUGAGU